This 714-nucleotide ribosomal RNA is filed under the name Triticum aestivum (bread wheat). RNAcentral describes it as "partial small subunit ribosomal RNA". The record is from RNAcentral. Lineage: Eukaryota; Viridiplantae; Streptophyta; Magnoliopsida; Poales; Poaceae.
AUGGUGAAUUCAGCGAAGCCACCGACCGAGCCUCCCUUGUCAGAUCCCGCGAUCGAAGGUGGCGUUGGGGAUGGGAGGGGCACUCCUGCAGAGGCUGUGACGGCUUCAUUAGGUGUCCACCAUGGCACGCCGUCGUCGCUCCCAUCGACACUCAAGACGUGUGGGAGCCAAGGAUUGCUGCGGUCCACUCCCGUCAACCGUGUCGGCGAAGCAGUCGCCCCGACCAUGGGCACCUCCUCGCAAGAUCUGGACGAGGUCAACCAGAGGCUACAGCUCGGCCUCGAUGAAGUGACCGCAGCACCGGGCGUUGGCAAGCCUGCGGAACACGAGUCCCCUAAUGUCGCUGAGGCGGUUUCUUCGCGGCCGUUGAAGGCGCAUACCCACCGCCGCCCUGCUAUGUCGUCCCAAGCAGAAGUGGUAUCCAUGAGCGCGCUACCACAGGCGUCCGAGCGCAAGCGACGUUCGGUCCGCGCCGAUGCACUCGACAGGCCACGGUUCUCCGUGACGCUCUCCGCGGAAGAGAUCGAGGAAGACAUAUACGCCCUCACCGGCGCGCUGCCGCGCAGCCGCCCUCGCCACCGCCCACCCGUAGUGCAGAAUCAGCUCAACUGCUACUUCCCGGCGCGCGGUUAUCGGAGAUCAACGCGGAGUCCUACCGGGUGCCGGAUGAUCACUGAGUCUCUCAACUCACCAAGCAUCGUCGCCCAACAGUAA